UAUAUACUCCACAAUGGACCACUCGUGAGUUAGACGCAACUCUUUGAAAAAGAAAAAUAGUCGAUCACACUUCUUCUUCUUCUUCUCCUUCAUCAGGUCUACUCUCUCAGACUCUCAAACCCACCAUGGAUCGUCUCAUCAAUUGGUUGGUGUCGGAGAUAAGUAAUUUAUGGACAAAGGUUAAUCCAAUUGUUCAAAGGUUGUUGUCACUUGUCCGAGACAUGUUGUUUAGCCACAAAGAUUAAUCCAAUGGUUCAAAGGUCCAUGUCCUACACAAGUUAUUAUUUAGUAACAAAGAUUAAUCCAAUAGUCGAAAGUUUCGCUCAGCGUAAAUUUAGUUUUAAUACUAAAACUUUUUUUGGAGAAAUUACAACGGAUGGAGACACGUUGUUACGUGUUGCUGGUGCUGUGGCAGCUAUUGCUGUUGUUCGUGUGCUUUGGAAGAUGGUUUUCAAAGGUUCUGGGAAGACAAUGAAGGCUCCAGGGAGGAACUAUCGCAUGUUAAGGAAAGACUUUGAACGUAGCCCUAAAGAUUACUUUCGUAAAUUGCGCAAAUAGACAAGGGAGAUGAACUCUUAAGACAAAACUUGAGUAGGAAACUACAUUUAAGUCUUGUCCUUAAGGUUAUGGUACUAUUUUUAGUAUUUUAUAGCUUGGUUUUUGUUGUUUUGUUUGAGAAGGGGAGGUGACUUGGUUUGGCACAACCUGUUGCACUAGGUUUAUUGUAUUUGAUGAGACUGAAGUGUGGUUUGGUUAUGAAUUUAAUUUUAGCAUUGUUGGUUACUUGUUUCUUAUU
This is a non-coding RNA of Cajanus cajan (pigeon pea), 796 nucleotides long. Lineage: Eukaryota; Viridiplantae; Streptophyta; Magnoliopsida; Fabales; Fabaceae. The record is from RefSeq and is a predicted model, not a curated record.